Molecule: ribosomal RNA, 426 nt
Filed under: Nocardia sp.
Lineage: Bacteria; Bacillati; Actinomycetota; Actinomycetes; Mycobacteriales; Nocardiaceae
Description: bacterial SSU rRNA
Rfam family: Bacterial small subunit ribosomal RNA
Source: RNAcentral
UACUCCUACGGGAGGCAGCAGUGGGGAAUAUUGCACAAUGGGCGGAAGCCUGAUGCAGCGACGCCGCGUGAGGGAUGACGGCCUUCGGGUUGUAAACCUCUUUCGACAGGGACGAAGCGCAAGUGACGGUACCUGUAGAAGAAGCACCGGCCAACUACGUGCCAGCAGCCGCGGUAAUACGUAGGGUGCGAGCGUUGUCCGGAAUUACUGGGCGUAAAGAGCUUGUAGGCGGUUCGUCGCGUCGAUCGUGAAAACUUGCAGCUCAACUGCGAGCUUGCGGUCGAUACGGGCGGACUAGAGUACUGCAGGGGAGACUGGAAUUCCUGGUGUAGCGGUGAAAUGCGCAGAUAUCAGGAGGAACACCGGUGGCGAAGGCGGGUCUCUGGGCAGUAACUGACGCUGAGAGCGAAGACUUUCCCGUAAUAA